UCAUGACUUUAAAAUUGCAUUGGGAAAACGGAAUUUUACUUUAUCGUUUGACGCUGAAAGAUUUAACGAAGCUGUAAGUUCAAAGUGUUAAACUCAUUGUACUGUUUGUCUGUUUCGGAAGCUAUCCCCGUGUGGGCUCAUGCCACGUCCUCGUCCUGCGAAAGGACGAUCCUUCUCAAUUAGAAAACCGAAAGACAGGGAGAGUAGCGCACACGAGCGUCAACCCUCCACCAUUAAUGUCGUCUUUCGCCUUAUCGUUAUCCCUCUGCCCGUUGACGUCACCCCCAACCCCGUCGCUCCGCCUGUCACCUCUCUCUUUCCACCAGGACCUCCUAACUGCUUCAACAGCCCGAAGAGUUCCAAACCUCGCGCUCCCAUGUCAAAACACAAGCUCAAACAAACCGCUUCUCUCACCAUUGUUAAUACCAAAGACCCGUAAUGUGGAGGUUCGAUCACAGCUUAGAUACCCAUACCCUAUUAUUUCUCCUGAUGACCACUGGGGCACGUGGACUGCUCUGUUCGUUAUCGGUGCUUUUGGUCUCCGGUCUGAGGAGACAAAGAUUGGAAGUAUGGUGAGUGCGGCAUUAGUGAGCACAUUGGUGGGGCUGGCAGCAAGCAAUCUGGGCAUAAUUCCUUUUGAAGCACCAGCUUAUUCUCUUUUCAUGGGGUUUUUGCUACCAUUGGCUGUUCCUUUGCUCUUGUUUAGAGCAGAUUCGCGUCGCGUCAUACGCUCAACUGGGACAUUGUUGCUCGCUUUCUUGCUUGGAUCAGGUUAGUAUGACUUGUUAACGAUCCCAUAUUUCCUAUAACUAUUCACAUCUUUUGAUCAGAAUGCCAUUAUUUUACUUAUGAUAUUCGAGGAUGAUCCUCCCACUUGUUCCUGUUCAGUGAUGUCCAGGAAUGUUAUUGAAUAUUAAAGCUUUUGAUUAUGGUUACCCUAAUAAUGAUUGAUGCCAGCAAGGGGAUUGUUUACAGUGCAAAGUGCAUGGAUUAUGGUAUCAAGUAGUUAAUACCCUUUACUAGUUAAGGCUCUGCUUCUUUGAAAUCCACUGCCUAAAAACAGUUUCAACAAUAGUUGGAACCCUAGUGGCUUUUCUGAUGGUGCCUAUGCGAUCACUUGGUCCAGAUAAUUGGAAAAUAGCUUCUGCUCUCAUGGGUAGUUAUAUUGGUGGAUUUUGAAGCAUGCCUCAUAACUGAGCAUUUUCUUUUGGAACACUGUAGCUGUUAACUACAUUGCAAUUUCAGAGGCUCUUGGUGUUUCUCCAUCAGUUUUGGCUGCCAGAGUCGCUGUGGACAAUGUUAUUUGUGCAAUAUACUUUAUGAUAUUAUUUGCAUUAGCCUCUAAAGUAGAUCCUGAGGCUUCAAAAUCAACCAAUGGUACAUAGCCUCACUCCUUGUUAUAAUGAUAUUCUACUAUAGAUAGAAGCAUGCACCAAUUCUCCUGGUUCCCUCUUGGAAUGGUUAACCACAUGUUUACUUCUCUGCUCCAGCACAACAGCUUUGGACAGCUACAUUUGCACUAGAAAACAAAAUUUAGAUUAAUUCUCUUUCCUGUUUAUCGAGUGUCCUUAAAAGUAAUUAAUUGCAAACUUGGCAUUGAUUUUUGUACAAGAUUGAAAUUAAAUAUGGAUAGAUUUUAUCAUGGUAUUGGUGUUAGUAUCUUUAGGAGAACCUUUUACUGUUUUUGGCAGAUGUUGAAAUGAAUUUGGAUUCUGAUUCGGGAGGCAAAAUCCCUGUGCUCCAGACAGCUACAGCUCUUGCUAUAUCCUUUUUGAUAUGUAAGA
This is a non-coding RNA of Theobroma cacao (cacao), 1784 nucleotides long. The record is from RefSeq and is a predicted model, not a curated record. Lineage: Eukaryota; Viridiplantae; Streptophyta; Magnoliopsida; Malvales; Malvaceae.